GACGAACGCUGGCGGCGUGCUUAACACAUGCGAGUCGAACGGAAAGGCCCUGCUUUUGUGGGGUGCUCUGGUUGCGAACGGGUGAGUAACACUUGAGUAACCUGCCCUUGACUUUGGGAUAACUUCAUGAAACUUGGGCUAAUACCGGGUAGGAGCUCCUGCUGCAUGGUGGGGGUUGGAAAGUUUCGGCGGUUGGGGAGGGACUCGCGGCUUAUCAGCUUGUUGGUGGGGUAGUGUCUUACCAAGGCUUUGACGGGUAGCCGGCCUGAGAGGGUGACCGGCCACAUUGGGACUGAGAUACGGCACAGACUCCUCCGGGAGGCAGCAGUGGGGAAUAUUGCACAAUGGGCGGAAGCCUGAUGCAGCCAAGCCGCGUGCGGGAUGACGGCAUUCGGGUUGUAAACCGAUUUCGCCUGUGACGAAGAGUGAGUGACGGUAAUGGGUAAAGAAGCACCGGCUAACUACGUG
RNAcentral lists this ribosomal RNA (468 nucleotides) under uncultured bacterium. RNAcentral describes it as "partial 16S ribosomal RNA". It matches the Rfam family "Bacterial small subunit ribosomal RNA", at positions 28 to 507 of the family's 1533-position model. The record is from RNAcentral.